AAUCAAGCCUGGGCAAUGGCGGGCGCCCCUCCCCCAGCCUCGCUGCCGCCUUGCAGUUUGAUCUCAGACUGCUGUGCUAGCAAUCAGCGAGACUCCCUGGGCAUAGGACCCUACGAGCCAGGUGCGGGAUAUAAUCUCGUGUUGCACCGUUUUUUAAGCCUGUCGGAAAAGCGCAGUAUUCUGGUGGGAGUGACCCGAUUUUCCAGGUGCCGUCCAUCACUCCUUUCUUUGACUCAGAAAGGGAACUCCCUGACCCCUUGCGCUUCCCAAGUGAGGCAAUGCCUCGCCCUGCUUCGGCUCGCGCACGGUGCACGCACCCACUGACCUGCGCCCACUGUCUGGCACUCCCUAGUGAGAUGAACCCGGUACCUCAGAUGGAAAUGCAGAAAUCACCCGUCUUCUGCGUCGCUCACGCUGGGAGCUGUAGACCGGAGCUGUUCCUAUUCGGCCAUCUUGGCUCCUCCCUCUGAAGAAAGCAAUGUAGAAGACAGAUUGGAAGACUAGAAGACAGUCCGGAGGCCCCAGAGGAAGCUAAUGGUCUGAAAUAACAGCUUAAGAACAAAGAACUGUGAAUAGUUGCUCACCUCUGAAAAAUUCUCGAAGGAAUAGGUGAUCAUUGGGUUGAAGACGAACAGAAGAUGAUAAACUUGGAAGAUAAUAAACUUAAAAGUUAUGCCUUUCUUAUAUGGUAAAAGGACUUUCUCCUGAAAUGCAAUAAACUUGAGAUGACUAGGGGAAUGAACACGCAAUGGAAGCUGGAGAUAGACAUCUGGGAGGCCUCUGUAGGGCUCUCAUUCUUCUUUCUGACACCAUGUGAAGAAGGACAUGUUGGCUUCCCCUUCUGCCAUGAUUAGUCCAACAGAAAAUUUUAAGUACCUGUUUAAAGCAAUUUACAAGAUACUGUGGAGAUUCCCAGCAAUAAAGAAUGUACUAUAGUUAAGCUGGAAUCCAACUCCUGAAUUUCUGGAGCCCUGAAGACCACUUAGUCUUACUCACAAGAAUUGAAUGGAAUGUGAAUCUACACUCAGGUGAAGCCAGGGUAUUUUGAACGUCCCUACAAGACUGAAGCACCACUGGGAAAUAAGUAAUAGAGAUGCCAUCAUUGUGGAGGUCAUAAUGCUUGUCCUGAACACGAGGGGUCUCUAGUGAGGCACCAAUUCAGCUCCUCUUCUGUGGAGAGACUACAUGGGUGCUGAAGAAACAAAGACACAACGCAGCUCCUCUCAAAGGAGUUCAGAGCUUAGCAGGGGAGACAGAACCAUGAAUGCAUAGUUACGCAUCAAUGUGCUGCACGAGCACUGAAGCCCAAGCACAAGCGGCCUGAGUCCCAGGUCUCACUUUGUCACCCAGGCUGAAGUGGAGUGGCAUGAUCAUAGCUCAUUGUAACCUCAAACUCCUGG
RNAcentral lists this long non-coding RNA (1400 nucleotides) under Homo sapiens (human). Its description in RNAcentral is "PREDICTED lncRNA (TCONS_00124770)". The record is from RNAcentral. Lineage: Eukaryota; Metazoa; Chordata; Mammalia; Primates; Hominidae.